This is a long non-coding RNA of Prunus persica (peach), 821 nucleotides long. RefSeq lists it as uncharacterized. The record is from RefSeq and is a predicted model, not a curated record. The transcript has 2 exons. NCBI's taxonomy places the organism in Eukaryota, Viridiplantae, Streptophyta, Magnoliopsida, Rosales, Rosaceae.
UUUGAAUUGCAUUGCAUUGUUGCUUUGCUUGGUCACGUUUUAAGCUUACAUGUGCAAACAUACAGGUGCACUAAACCAAAGCACCACACGUAACACUCCUCCAUCCAAUUUCCCAGGUGGCAAGUCAAAGUUGCCCAUCAUGACACGUAUGAGAUAAAAAAAACCAUACUCAAACGUUCAAAUCAUUUAUUUAAAACCCUAUCCACUUUCCCAGCUUCAAAUCUAACUCUCCCUCUCUCUCUCCCUCCCUGCCUCUAUAAAUUUGCCCAUUUUUGUGGAUCUCAAAUGAGAGAGAGAUAAGAGAGAGAGAGAGAGAGAGAGAGAGCAAUAGGUUUAGAACACAGAAAUGGGAUUUAGAAUUGUGUAUGGUGUGCUGUUUCUGUCGUUCUCGUGCGCCUGCAUCAAGCUCAUCCACCUUAUGCUCCACCCAGUAUUCUACUACACCACCUGAGGACUGAUGGGAAGCUAAGCCUCCACCAGGUCAAAUGCUGACCAAAAACAAGACCAAAAAAAUUGGGUUAGCUAGCCACAAAAUAGUCAUGGGAAUAAAUUUUCAACAAUGUUUUUAUGAUGUGGUGGCUAUCUGGAAUGUUUACGAUGGUGGUGGGUGGGUCAUGAAGCUUUUCUUUGUUGGGCUAGGAAUAGCAUUCAGGAGUCAUGAUGAGCCAUGACGUUGGUGUUGCUUGGAGGAUUGGACUCAGAAAAAAGAAAAUAAAGAUCAGAUUCCUGAAUUGAAAUUUUCAAAGUUGAAUAAAAGCUGGUUGGUUGAAUUUUAAAAUUGUAUGUUAACUUAUUCUUGAUCAUAUCCAUUGUUUAUAUCA